GGGUCAGUAGGUUGGUCGUGCCACCGGUACGUACUGGUCUCACUGAUUCCUCCUUCCUGAAGAACCGUAAUGACAUUAAUUUGGUGUUGCGGGGAAACAGGACUGUUACUUUGAAAAAAUUAGAGUGUUUAAAGCAAGCUAACGCUUGAAUACAUUAGCAUGGAAUAAUGAAAUAGGACGAUCGAUCCUAUUUUGUUGGCUUCUAGGAUUGACGUA
Molecule: ribosomal RNA, 216 nt
Filed under: Glomeromycotina sp.
Lineage: Eukaryota; Fungi; Glomeromycota
Description: partial small subunit ribosomal RNA
Rfam family: Eukaryotic small subunit ribosomal RNA (bases 40-216)
Source: RNAcentral